This 256-nucleotide ribosomal RNA is filed under the name uncultured bacterium. RNAcentral describes it as "partial 16S ribosomal RNA". It matches the Rfam family "Bacterial small subunit ribosomal RNA", at positions 521 to 776 of the family's 1533-position model. The record is from RNAcentral.
UAAUACGGAGGGUGCGAGCGUUAAUCGGAAUUACUGGGCGUAAAGGGUGCGUAGGUGGUUUAAUAAGUUAGCUGUGAAAUUCCUGGGCUUAACCUGGGGCGGUCAGCUAAGACUGUUAGACUCGAGUAUAGGAGAGGGUAGUGGAAUUUCCGGUGUAGCGGUGAAAUGCGUAGAGAUCGGAAGGAACACCAGUGGCGAAGGCGGCUACCUGGCCUGAUACUGACACUGAGGCACGAAAGCGUGGGGAGCAAACAGG